AUUGAACGCUGGCGGCAGGCCUAACACAUGCAAGUCGAGCGGAAACGAUCCUAGCUUGCUAGGAGGCGUCGAGCGGCGGACGGGUGAGUAACGCGUGAGAAUCUACCCAUGAGUGGGGGACAACCCGGGGAAACUCGGGCUAAUACCGCAUACGCCCUACGGGGUAAAGCAGGGGACCUUCGGGCCUUGCGCUGAUGGAUGAGCUCGCGUCGGAUUAGCUUGUUGGUGAGGUAAAGGCUCACCAAGGCGACGAUCCGUAGCUGGUCUGAGAGGAUGAUCAGCCACACCGGGACUGAGACACGGCCCGGACUCCUACGGGAGGCAGCAGUGGGGAAUCUUGGACAAUGGGGGCAACCCUGAUCCAGCCAUGCCGCGUGUGUGAAGAAGGCCUUCGGGUUGUAAAGCACUUUCAGCAGGGAGGAAGGCUUACCCCUAAUACGGGUGAGUACUUGACGUUACCUGCAGAAGAAGCACCGGCUAAUUUCGUG
Molecule: ribosomal RNA, 488 nt
Filed under: uncultured bacterium
Lineage: Bacteria
Description: bacterial SSU rRNA
Rfam family: Bacterial small subunit ribosomal RNA
Source: RNAcentral